This 444-nucleotide ribosomal RNA is filed under the name uncultured bacterium. RNAcentral's name for it is "SSU rRNA". It matches the Rfam family "Bacterial small subunit ribosomal RNA", at positions 26 to 518 of the family's 1533-position model. The record is from RNAcentral.
AGAGCGAACGCUGGCGGCAGGCCUAACACAUGCAAGUCGAGCGCCCCGCAAGGGGAGCGGCAGACGGGAGAGUAACACGUGGGAACGUACCCUUCAGUUCGGAACAACCCAGGGAAACUUGGGCUAAUACCGAAUACGUCCGUAAGGAGAAAGAUUUAUCGCUGAAGGAUCGGCCCGCGUCUGAUUAGCUAGUUGGUGAGGUAACGGCUCACCAAGGCUACGAUCAGUAGCUGGUCUGAGAGGAUGAUCAGCCUCACUGGGACUGAGACACGGCCCAGACUCCUACGGGAGGCAGCAGUGGGGAAUAUUGGACAAUGGGCGCAAGCCUGAUCCAGCCAUGCCGCGUGGGUGAUGAAGGCCCUAGGGUUGUAAAGCCCUUUCGGCGGGGAAGAUAAUGACGGUACCCGCAGAAGACGCCCCGGCUAACUUCGUGCCAGCAGCCGC